RNAcentral lists this long non-coding RNA (1038 nucleotides) under Hordeum vulgare. Its description in RNAcentral is "long non-coding RNA (HVUL_LNC014884)". Lineage: Eukaryota; Viridiplantae; Streptophyta; Magnoliopsida; Poales; Poaceae. The record is from RNAcentral.
AUGCUCGUCAUAUACAAAUACAGAUUGGUACCACAUACAUGUGCUUAAGUUACCACAUUUGCUCCCAUGUUACCACUCAGACCCUCUUUCUGAGUACUUGAGUGAAAAGGAAAAGGACACAAUCCAUCAUUUUUUUAGUCCUGAAGCAAGUAUGCGUUGGCUAUAGAAAGUUCACCAAUUUUUCUUCAGUCCACAACGUCCAAAGAAAAUAUAGCGGUCGCAUAAGCCUGAAAUUGUCAUCAGUGUCUUACACCAAUAGUACAGGAGCACUAUGUAAAUUAUUGACAUAUAUUGAAAUGUACCGGGCCUUGUUAUAUCAGCAACAGGGAGUCAGGGACAUACAAAGAUGUUCCUAAAUUCAGUAAUAACUGAAACAGAUCAGAAUCACUCUGUACUCUUACAUCAAGUGUUCCUAAAUUCAGUAAUAACUGAAACAGCUCAGCGUCACUCGUAGUCUUAAAUCAAGAAUAUUGAUUAACAUACUACAUAUUUAGAGUAUUUAGCUCGUACCACUGGGCAGCAAAAAAAGGACUGCAAAAAUUAGCAUGAACCCAGAACUGCACGCUCAUGUUUCCCUGACCUGCAGGUAGCUCUCUUGUCAACCCAUUUUACUUUGGGUCACAAAUAUUUCUAACCUUCAAGUAAUUAUUAUUUCCACUGAUACAUAGUACAGUAGUAAGUAGUUUACAAACCAACACAAGAGGGAUAUUCAUUCACAUUGUUUGCCUUACCUACUGCUAACGACACGCACAUUCACUACACUCUCUACUUCAUCUCCUGCACAAAUAAGUAUCUCACACUUGUCAACAUGAAGCCAGGAUGCCUCUCAGUUUUGGUUCAUAGGUUUCGUACAUACAUCGAUUUGACUCAAAUAUGUUGCACCAUAAUUACCAAAUACUACCUGUCUAUAUGUUCCAUACAUCUACCUCAUUGAACCCAUUGUAGAUAUAGUAAUUGUAGACUGUUAAACCAGUAAUAACAGGAGUCUAUUUUAGCUGGAUAUUUGCGGAUUCAGUUGCGCAGAUUGCUGAAGAAAAU